CACUGAGAUGACCCAUAGUACCCCAUUCCUUGCUGCAAUGUAAUUAUAUUUACUUACAAGUGUGCUCCUGGUGGUCUUUAACUGAAGGGCACUGACUGGGUCACUGGUGAAGUUCCCCGCAGGAACUGAGUCAGACCCCAUCUCAGGGCCCUGCACAAGAUAGGUGCCUGCUCUAAGGCGUGGACCCUCGCCACAGCCCUGGCCCGUCUUGACGGGCGAGGGUUACUGUACUUGUCCCAACCGUACAGAUGAGAAAGCUGAGACUCAGGGCGAGCAACCCGGGUCCCAGCGGAGCGCCCGGCACACGCCGACACUUCAGCACCAGUCGCGGUGGCCACCACUGUGCGCGGAGAUGGCUGCGACGCGUGCGCAGAUCUCGAUCCCAAACUCCCUCCUGCCAGAAUCUGGACCCGAAUCCACCCAUUGCCCGUUUUCUGCUGCCGCUGGAGAGAAUCUCUGAGGUCCCCAGGAGAGCCUGCCUGCACGGAAGAGAUGCCUCCUCAGUAUGGCCGCCCCCGGAGAGGAGCGAUUAAGUGCAGACCUCCAUGUUGCUCUUGAGCCUGAGCGGCUUCAGGGAGCCAUGUUUGUUACUGGCGGGCGCCGACCUCACUGAGCAUGUGCAGCCCUGGCCGGGCGGCCUCAAAGUUCUGACAUCACAGGGCGGUUCCUGAAGUGGACGUAGUUGUAAGAGCUAGUUAUUUUAGACAAUGCCUCUGGGAUCAGGGACUCUAAUCUGGAAAUAGGUAGUAGGAGAGGUCGGUGAUGCAGUCUCUGGAUCAGAGACCUGAGCUAUAUGGGGUUAGAGAGGGGCCCUGGGCAGGCGAGUCUCUGGGGAGUGUGGUGAGAAUCCUUGUGUAAGAUGCUGGGAGGAGGUGGGGUCAGGGCUGGGGUCCGUGGGCCGACGGGUUGGGGGAUGGCCAGCGUCAGGGAUCAGUAGUAGAGAUUCUAUGUGCCCUGAUCGCCAGUGGAGGUUUUAAAUACAGAGUAUUCAUGAGUUUAGCAAUGUUAUUCGCCUCUCAUUAUUUAAAUAAUUUGAAAUUUUCCCCAAUAACUAGUGUCUUAGAAGUCAUGAAAAUUUCAGAAAAUGACAGGUCUCCUGAGUUCGUGAUGGGAGUUGGGCAGCAGUCGCAUACGAGCACCUGGAGAGUCCUUGCCAGUUCUUUGGGGAUGGGGAGCUCUUAAGACUGCCCUGAGACCGCCCUUUGACCUCAUUAUGGUCCUUUCUAGAUCAAAUGCUGUUUUCCAUGACUGUCUCUGUUCUUCCCAUACGCGAAUGGCAGGCAUCCAGAUCUCCAAGAAUAGAGGAUUAGGAGAGACUCCACCACCUAUGUCCUCACAGUUAAUUAUCGAUUUGUGUCAGUUGCCCAUUUUCUCACUUCCUGUUUGUGUGUCAAGGAGUAUUAAUAAAUCUUUGCCUAUUUAAAGAUAUUAGCCUUGGAUUUUCAAAUAUUGCAUAUUUUGACAUGUAAAAAUUUGUUAGUUUUAUUUUUUCAACCGAUCUGACCUGUAUAGUUGGGCUUGAGGAAGCUUCCUCAUUCUACAUGUUACUAUGGAUUUUCUAAUAUUAACACAGGGUUGUAUUUUUUCCAUAUAACUUUCUAUUGAAUUUCUUUUUCCAUAUGAUAGGUGGUGAAGGUUUAGCCCAGUAAAGCAGAGAGGUUAAGAGGUUAGAUUGGGGGCUCUGGAGCCAGACCUAUGUAGAUCUGAGUCCUGGCUCUGGCACUUGAAAGCCGUGUGACCUUGGUUAAGAUACUUAGUCCCUCUCUGCCAAAUGGAGAAAUAAGGGCACCUACCCCAUAGGGUAGUUGUGUGAUUACACAAGUUAAUACACUUCAAUCAGUAGCAAGAAAGUGAAUGUCAAGCUGUAUUUGUUCAGGCAGCCAUAUGGUAGCCCCACGUCCUUAGUAAACUGAGGUAUUGAAGUAUCUUCUUUUUCUUUCAGAAAAUAUUUGUCAAGCACCUUCUGUGUUCUAAGAACUGUUCUAGAGCUUUGCAUGCUAUGGAGGUCUAGAAAUUCACAUUAUGGUGGCAGGUGACAGACAAUACAAAGAGAUAAAGCAAUUUCAUAUAGUGAUAAGCUAGGGAGGAGUGCUAAAAGGAGCCAAGGUGUAGUGGUGACUGGAAGGUGACCAGGGAAACCACUGUAGGGUUUCUAAGUGAUGAGAUCUGUGACAAAUCCCUGUGGUCAGCAGCAGGCAUUGGAUAUGUAACUUUAUUCUGUCCCAUUGAUCUUGUAGUCAACCCUGGUCUGUUCUGUAUUGUUUUAAUUACAUAA
RNAcentral lists this long non-coding RNA (2275 nucleotides) under Homo sapiens (human). Its description in RNAcentral is "family with sequence similarity 88 member C (FAM88C)". The record is from RNAcentral. Lineage: Eukaryota; Metazoa; Chordata; Mammalia; Primates; Hominidae.